GACGAACGCUGGCGGCGUGCUUAACACAUGCAAGUCGAGCGGUAAGGCCCUUUCGGGGGUACACGAGCGGCGAACGGGUGAGUAACACGUGGGUGACCUGCCCUCAGCUCUGGGAUAAGCCUGGGAAACUGGGUCUAAUACUGGAUAUGACUCCACGGUGCAUGUCGUGGGGUGGAAAGCCUUGUGCGGCUGAGGAUGGGCCCGCGGCCUAUCAGCUUGUUGGUGGGGUGANGGCCUACCAAGGCGACGACAGGUAGCCGGCCUGAGAGGGCGACCGGCCACACUGGGACUGAGACACGGCCCAGACUCCUACGGGAGGCAGCAGUGGGGAAUCUUGCGCAAUGGGCGAAAGCCUGACGCAGCGACGCCGCGUGAGGGAUGACGGCCU
Molecule: ribosomal RNA, 388 nt
Filed under: uncultured bacterium
Lineage: Bacteria
Description: bacterial SSU rRNA
Rfam family: Bacterial small subunit ribosomal RNA
Source: RNAcentral